AGGAUAUUAGUUAAAUAAUAACACUUAAAUUGCAUUUAAAAAUUAUAUUAUAAUAUAUAUGUCUUU
RNAcentral lists this transfer RNA (66 nucleotides) under Vollenhovia emeryi. Its description in RNAcentral is "tRNA-Ala". The record is from RNAcentral. Lineage: Eukaryota; Metazoa; Arthropoda; Insecta; Hymenoptera; Formicidae.